RNAcentral lists this ribosomal RNA (651 nucleotides) under uncultured Chloroflexota bacterium. RNAcentral describes it as "bacterial SSU rRNA". It matches the Rfam family "Bacterial small subunit ribosomal RNA", at positions 145 to 811 of the family's 1533-position model. The record is from RNAcentral. Lineage: Bacteria; Bacillati; Chloroflexota.
AACAGUUCGAAAGGAUUGCUAAUACCCCAUGUGGUCUUAGAGAUUAAAUGCCCUUUGACUAAAGGUGAAAACCGCUUUGGGAGGGACCUGCGUCCCAUCAGCUAGUUGGUAAGGUAACGGCCUACCAAGGCUACGACGGGUAGGGGACCUGAGAGGGUGGCCCCCCACACUGGCACUGAAACACGGGCCAGACACCUACGGGUGGCAGCAGUAGGGAAUAUUGCACAAUGGGCGAAAGCCUGAUGCAGCAACGCCGCGUGCACGAUGAAGGCCUUCGGGUCGUAAAGUGCUUUUCGGGGAGAUGAGGAAGGACAGUAUCCCCGGAAUAAGUCUCGGCUAACUACGUGCCAGCAGCCGCGGUAACACGUAGGAGGCAAGCGUUAUCCGAAUUUACUGGGCGUAAAGCGCGUGCAGGCGGUUCGGUAAGUUGGAUGUGAAAUCUCCUGGCUCAACUGGGAGAGGUCGUUCAAUACUGUCGGACUCGAGGAUGGUAGAGGGAGGUGGAAUUCCCGGUGUAGUGGUGAAAUGCGUAGAUAUCGGGAGGAACACCAGUGGCGAAAGCGGCCUCCUGGACCAUUCCUGACGCUCAGACGCGAAAGCUAGGGGAGCGAACGGGAUUAGACACCCAGGUAGUCUUAGCUGUAAACGAUG